UGACUCAAGUCUUAAUCCAAUUAGUGUUCCCUGAAGUUGGAUCUGGAACCUUGAUAGGCGAACAGUGUAUUUUGGAACCUCCAUACCAUCCAUAUUCAAAGGUUUAUCAACACGAGAAAUUCAACAAUGCUUUUGGAGUGGAUCUGUCUGUGUGCGAGGAUUUGACCGGGAAAAG
Molecule: long non-coding RNA, 175 nt
Organism: Glycine soja
Lineage: Eukaryota; Viridiplantae; Streptophyta; Magnoliopsida; Fabales; Fabaceae
Exons: 3
Source: RefSeq, a predicted model, not a curated record